Anneissia japonica is the source of this 1016-nucleotide long non-coding RNA. RefSeq lists it as uncharacterized. The record is from RefSeq and is a predicted model, not a curated record. Lineage: Eukaryota; Metazoa; Echinodermata; Crinoidea; Comatulida; Comatulidae. The transcript is spliced from 2 exons.
UGAUUUAAAUGACGAGUUUGACAAGUGGCAACCUACAACACAAUUUAUAAUUCCGGCAGUCAUCGUUGUAGUAUCUUGCAUCAUUGCAGCUGUAACACUUAUUAAAAGAAUACACAGUAAUCGUUUACAGGAGUCCAAUCAAAGUAACGUGUCCACAGGAAAUUCUCUCAGAAAUCCAAAAAAGGCUCUAAAAACGGUGAUCAUCGUGGCUGUUGUCUUUCUGUGCAUGACGUCACCGAGUGCAAUUUUGCGUUUUUGGAUUAUAAACAAUGGAGUUUACUAUUUUUCCACCUGGUUCUUUUUUGCUAAUCUACUUAGAGUAUCUAAUAGCUGCGUUAAUCCAUUUAUUUAUGCACUCAUGUCCAGUAGUUUUCGAUCGGCCAUCAAAUCAACAUUUUGCUGUAAAACAGAUUCGACAAACAGGCAAAAUUUAAAUUUUAACUCUAGAAGUAGACCGUUGCAAAACAGAGUUUAGAAACAAUGAUAAACUAGGCCAAGAGUAAUCUUCAUUAAAUAAGGCUGCAUUCACAUCGGAUCCCAAACCAAAAUUCCGACCAGGUUUUGGAUGCACUACGCCAGCGUCCCUACUCCUGUGACAGAGUGAUACAGUAAUUUAUAUAUAAUAUACACAAAUGUCUUAGCAUCAUAUUUUUAUAAUAUAUAAGUGUAUUUAAGGAGUUGAAGAUGUUUGCUGACAAAGGUUUAGUUAUUCAUUCAUUUGAAUAAAUAAAUUUUAAAAAAAAUUAACUGAUGGUGUGUGUAUGGAUGAGAUAACGGGAUGAGAUACAUGGAUAGAUGGAUGCAUGCAUGAUGGCAUGCAUGAUGGAUAGAUAAAUGGAUGGCUUGAUGGAAGGAAGAUCAAUGAUGGACGAAGGAAGCCUUAGGAAGGCAUGCAAUAAAUCAAUUCAAAAGUACGGACAGAUGGACAAACGAACGAAUUCAAACGAACGACAAACGACCCAAUGAAUGAAGUCAACACAUUCACUUUCACUCUCUAAAAUUAUUCGAUGCAAAAA